GGGAGUAAGACUAGUGAGAGAUGUGAGCUGAGUGUUGGUCACACUAAAGGAUCAUAUGUGAUCUCCACUCCGGGAAGGAAGAUAGCCUUAGACAAGAUAGUUACCCUUGUACCUAUCCAGCUAGGCCAAACUCUUUUUAGGGAGAAUCUCAUCAUCCUUGACCUGGAAGGAAUAGAUAUCAUCCUUGGGAUGGAUUGGAUGACCCGACACCAAGUGGUCCUAGAUGUAACUGCCCGAGCUCUCCACAUCAACUCACCCUUUCAUGGCAGGUCUACCCUAUCCUUGACCCAC
RNAcentral lists this long non-coding RNA (291 nucleotides) under Setaria viridis. RNAcentral's name for it is "long non-coding RNA (SVIR_LNC003140)". The record is from RNAcentral. Lineage: Eukaryota; Viridiplantae; Streptophyta; Magnoliopsida; Poales; Poaceae.